This 391-nucleotide ribosomal RNA is filed under the name Clostridiales bacterium. RNAcentral's name for it is "partial 23S ribosomal RNA". It matches the Rfam family "Bacterial large subunit ribosomal RNA", at positions 2535 to 2925 of the family's 2925-position model. The record is from RNAcentral. Lineage: Bacteria; Bacillati; Bacillota; Clostridia; Eubacteriales.
GCUCAUCGCAUCCUGGAGCCGUAGCAGGUUCCAAGGGUUUGGCUGUUCGCCAAUUAAAGCGGUACGCGAGCUGGGUUCAGAACGUCGUGAGACAGUUCGGUCCCUAUCUGUCGCGGGCGGAGGAUAUUUGAGGGGAUCUGUCCUUAGUACGAGAGGACCGGGAUGGACAGACCGAUGGUGGACCAGUUGCCGCGCCAGCGGCACGGCUGGGCGGCCAAGUCUGGCAGGGAUAAACGCUGAAGGCAUCUAAGCGUGAAGCCCCCCCCAAGAUGAGAUGUCCCACCCCGAGAGGGGGUAAGGCCCCACGGAGAACACGUGGUUGAUAGGCCGGGAGUGCAAGCGCAGCAAUGCGCUGAGCUGGCCGGUACUAAUAGGCCGAGGGCUUGACCAG